CGGUUGUUUUGAAAGCUCACAACCAAACUUGUUGUUUUACGAGCUCACAACGAACUCGGUCGGUUUUCCCAGGCUCACCGACUAGAACCAACCCCGAUUGUUUUCCCGGGCUCACAAUCAAACCCUUACACACGUUGGUUUUAACUUGGCUCACCAACCAACCUUAAUCCCCUUGAUUCAAUCCUCCGAUUGAACCAAGUAAAUACAAGUUAUAGACAGAAAGGAAAAUAAGCUUCUCAAAAGCAGAUAUAAAACAAUAUAAUCAAAGAGGAGUUUAGAAGCCCUCAAACGCUUUUAAGCUGAAGAAGAGGUAAGGCUU
Molecule: long non-coding RNA, 319 nt
Filed under: Phoenix dactylifera (date palm)
Lineage: Eukaryota; Viridiplantae; Streptophyta; Magnoliopsida; Arecales; Arecaceae
Description: long non-coding RNA (PDAC_LNC004349)
Source: RNAcentral